CAGGAUCAUUGGGGGCCACCUUGGAGGCUGGCCACCUGUUAUGGGCUAAAUUGUGUGCCCCCAAAAUUCGGACGUGGAAGUCCUGAGCGUCAGCACCUCAAACCUUGACUGUAUUUGGAGACAGGGCCUUUAAAGAGGUGAUGAAGUUAAAGUGAGGUCAUCAGGGUGGACCCUAGUCCAACAUGGCUGACGUCCUUCUAGGAAGAGGAGAUUAGGACACAGGCGGAUACAGAGGGAAGACCACGUGAAGACACGGAGAAGCCAGCCGUCUACAGGCCAGGGAGAGAGGCCUCAGAAGGAACCAACCCUGCUGACACCGGACCUUGGACGUCCAGCCUCCAGGCGUGGGGAAAACGUCUGCUGUGCCAGCCGCCCAGCGCGGUACCGCCGGGGGAGCAGACUCCGACACCGGCCCCUCUCCGAGCCAGGCGCCCCACGACAGGAGGCCCUCGGGGGUGUGGCUCCUCCUCCCUCCCGGUGCCCGCCUGUGCCGCAGAGCACAGGGGGAUGCCACGAUCUCGGGGCCACCACUGCUGGUCUCAGUUCAUCCCCGCGGGGACUGUGAUCCCCUUUGAGAGCCCGCGGGAUGAAUCUGGAACUGGCUCUGGAGAAGAGAAACAGGCGGCGGCUGGCAGAGGAAGGCUUUCCUUUCAGGGGCUGCUGGGGCCUUAGGGAGGGUUAUGGGGGAGAGGUGUGCAGCCCCCUCUCCCCCGGGGCGCCCACCUCGAGCUCCUUCCCUCGGCCCAGCGCUCGGCGAACACGCGCAUCCCCUCCCCAGCACGCCUGCGCCCUGGGGGUCUGCAGCCCCCUCUCAGAGACCACGCCCCGCACGGCCGCCCAGCCGGCGAACCAGCCAGGGCGAGGUCGACCGCGAGUUCGGUUCCAGGCGCGCUUGCUCCAAAGCCCCUGCCCCUUCCUCCCGCCCGCUGCCUCCCAGCCAGCCUCCGGGGCUUCCAGCCUGUUCUCCUCUGUAGCCCCGGCACAGCGUCUGGCGCAGAAGAGCGGCUCGAUUCAUAGUUGCUGUGAAAUGGAAGAAUGAGUGAAAGAAAAUUCAGUGAAAAAAAUGAAACAGGGUAUAGAAAACAGCAAGCUGGUGACCAUAUUGAAAGGGACAUUUCGCCCAAGUUCCACCUCCUCCAGGAAGCCCCCCUGACCACGCACUCACAGAGGUCUGGCCUGGGCGCCGUCCGCUGGUACUUAGACGGGUCAGCAAGAGUCGCCAGAACGCGGGGACCAGAGCAGCAGGUCAGGCAGGCACGCUGGGGCCCUGGAGACCAUCAGAUGGCCCUGAGGGGCCUCCCCACAGGGCAGGCGCGGAGCUGCCGCACCCCACGCAGUUCCUUUAGCCUUCCUGGCUCAGCGCGAAGGAAAGAAUUUUCUACCUUGCUAAGCUCCGUUUCCACGUGCACGAGGGAGCUCAGUUACUUGCCCAAAGUCACAAUAGAGCAUGUGCCGAGCCAGAACUCAGGCCCAGAACUGCCUGGUGCCUGAGCUUGUCGCUAAGGAGCCUGCCCCUCGAGAAGGCUGCCCAGGCUGCAGGCGAGCACUGCAACUGGAGGAAGAGAUGCACCUUGCAUCUCCAGCAGGAAGUUGCCUCCUGCUCUACUACUCCUGUGGAGGAAGGAAGAUUUUCUUUUUGCCCAGCAACAAGCCCAGCCAAUGAAAAAUACCCCAGCUCAGCCAACAAGGACCUGUCAUCACCCUGAACUCUUCCUCUCCUCCAAUGAAAUUUCAUUUAGAACAGCCCCUCCCAACUCCCCCUUUUUCACUAUAAAAGCAAGCUCCCCGCCUUUGUUCUCAGGACCUGCCUGUGGCUCAGCAUAGUUCAC
Molecule: long non-coding RNA, 1829 nt
Organism: Equus caballus (horse)
Lineage: Eukaryota; Metazoa; Chordata; Mammalia; Perissodactyla; Equidae
Source: Ensembl